UACGGGGGGGGCAAGCGUUGCUCGGAAUUACUGGGCGUAAAGGGCGCGUAGGCGGGAUGGCAAGUCGGUCGUGAAAUCCCUCGGCUCAACUGAGGAUCGUCGAUCGAUACUGCCGUUCUUGAGGAUUGCAGAGGAGACUGGAAUUCCCGGUGUAGCGGUGAAAUGUGUAGAGAUCGGGAGGAACACCGGUGGCGAAGGCGGGUCUCUGGGCAAUUCCUGACGCUGAGGCGCGAAAGCGUGGGGAGCAAACGGG
This 253-nucleotide ribosomal RNA is filed under the name uncultured bacterium. RNAcentral describes it as "partial 16S ribosomal RNA". It matches the Rfam family "Bacterial small subunit ribosomal RNA", at positions 524 to 776 of the family's 1533-position model. The record is from RNAcentral.